GAUGAACGCUAGCGGCAGGCCUAAUACAUGCAAGUCGAACGGGAUCCAGAUCAAAGCUUGCUUUGGUUUGGUGAGAGUGGCGCACGGGUGCGUAACGCGUGAGCAACCUACCCUUGUCAGGGGGAUAGCCCGGCGAAAGUCGGAUUAAUACCGCAUGACAUCAUUGAGAGGCAUCUUUCGAUGAUCAAAGAUUUAUCGGACAAGGAUGGGCUCGCGUGACAUUAGCUAGUUGGUAAGGUAACGGCUUACCAAGGCUACGAUGUCUAGGGGCUCUGAGAGGAGAAUCCCCGACACUGGUACUGAGACACGGACCAGACUCCUACGGAAGGCAGCAGUAAGGAAUAUUGGUCAAUGGACGGAAGUCUGAACCAGCCAUGCCGCGUGCAGGAAGACGGCCCUAUGGGUUGUAAACUGCUUUUAUACGGGAACAAACGUCGGUACGUGUACCGGUCUGAGUGUACCGUAAGAAUAAGGAUCGGCUAACUCCGUG
RNAcentral lists this ribosomal RNA (490 nucleotides) under uncultured bacterium. RNAcentral describes it as "partial 16S ribosomal RNA". It matches the Rfam family "Bacterial small subunit ribosomal RNA", at positions 28 to 507 of the family's 1533-position model. The record is from RNAcentral.